Molecule: ribosomal RNA, 529 nt
Filed under: uncultured Gammaproteobacteria bacterium
Lineage: Bacteria; Pseudomonadati; Pseudomonadota; Gammaproteobacteria
Description: bacterial SSU rRNA
Rfam family: Bacterial small subunit ribosomal RNA
Source: RNAcentral
AGAGUUUGAUCAUGGCUCAGAUUGAACGCUGGCGGCAGGCCUAACACAUGCAAGUCGAGCGGCAGCGGGAAAGUAGCUUGCUACUUUUGCCGGCGAGCGGCGGACGGGUGAGUAAUGCCUGGGAAAUUGCCCAGUCGAGGGGGAUAACAGUUGGAAACGACUGCUAAUACCGCAUACGCCCUACGGGGGAAAGCAGGGGACCUUCGGGCCUUGCGCGAUUGGAUAUGCCCAGGUGGGAUUAGCUAGUUGGUGAGGUAAUGGCUCACCAAGGCGACGAUCCCUAGCUGGUCUGAGAGGAUGAUCAGCCACACUGGAACUGAGACACGGUCCAGACUCCUACGGGAGGCAGCAGUGGGGAAUUUUGGACAAUGGGCGAAAGCCUGAUCCAGCCAUGCCGCGUGAGUGAAGAAGGCCUUCGGGUUGUAAAGCUCUUUUGUCCGGGAGGAAAUCCUGGCCCCUAAUACGGGUCGGGGAUGACAGUACUGGAAGAAUAAGCACCGGCUAACUACGUGCCAGCAGCCGCGGUAAU